RNAcentral lists this ribosomal RNA (1080 nucleotides) under Ameson sp. Its description in RNAcentral is "partial small subunit ribosomal RNA". It matches the Rfam family "Microsporidia small subunit ribosomal RNA", at positions 67 to 1152 of the family's 1311-position model. Lineage: Eukaryota; Fungi; Microsporidia; Pereziidae. The record is from RNAcentral.
GUAUGUAUGUAUACACAAGGCUCAGUAUCGAGUAUAGCUUUGCUCUCCAAGAUGUGAUACUUUCAGGAAACAGAAAAUAAAGCAUCUAUCUUCUAAAGAACUUUAGAGGAGAGGAGAAGAAGCGACUCACCUAUCAGUUAGUAGGUAUGGUAAGGGCAUACCUAGACGAAGACGGGUACGGGGAAGGCAACUUCGAUUCCGGAGAGGGCGCAUUUAGAGAUGGCGACCAGUUCUAAGGAGUGCAGCAGGCUCGAAACUUACCGAAUUAUAGAUUAGAGGUAGUGAUGAAACGUUUAUAUAAAGAUACUGGUAAAGCAAGUAUUAGCAACUGGAGGGUAAGUCUGGUGCCAGCAGCCGCGGUAAUACCAGCUCCAGGAGCUUCUUCGAUAUGUUGCGGUUAAAACGUCCGUAGUCGCGGCCUGGGACUGACCUGUAAUCUAUUUGGUUAACAAAUAGAUAGGGGCAGUAGCAGGCUGGAAAAGAGCAAUUUGGUGUCAGCUAAUGGUAUGGGGAGGGGUGAAGUCUGAGGAUCCAUGCAGGAGGAGCAAAGGCGAAAGCACUGACAAAGAUUGAUUCUGUUGAUCAAGGACAGAGGCUAGAGGAUCGAAUACGAUUAGAUACCGUAGUAGUUCUAGCAGUGACCGAUGAUAAUUUUGCUUAUGGCAAUAGAGAAAUCAAAAUAGAUCUCCGGGGGGAGUACAUGCGCAAGCAAGAAACUUAAAGAAAUUGACGGAAGACUACCACAAGGUGUGGAUUGUUCGGCUUAAUUUGACUCAACGCGGGAAAACUUACCAAGCUUAUUUGUUCAACGAGUAUAUAUACGAGAGCAAAAUGGUGGUGCAUGGCCGUUCCUAACAGAUGGAGUGAUUUUGUGAUUAACUUCCGUAAUCUGUGUAAUCUCAGAAUAGCUUGUUCGAAAGAACAAUUCGAGGCAAGAACAGGUCAGUGAUGUCCUUUGAUAGCUUGGGCCGCACGCGCAAUACAAUGUUUUAUGUAGUAAGAUAUAGAUAAAAAAUAGAACAUGAGGGAUUGAGAGCUGAAAAGCACUCAUGAACACGGAAUAGCUAGUAAUCGUCAGUU